CAUGGCUUCUAAUCGCCGCACCAUUCAAGUUAAAGCUUCUCUGAAUAUGGCAUUUCGUUCUAUUCCUACUGGUGAUGGACGAGCGACUAAAAAUAUCAACUGGAAGACAUGCAAAUGUCCACAACAAGUGGGAGGUUAUGAGUGUGGAUAUUAUGUGAUGCGAUACAUGUUUGAUAUUGUGACAAAAUAUUCAACUGUUGAUAAAUUAGAUGAGGUAUUUGAAAGCAAUCCGUACUCUACCGAUGAAAUUGAUGAGAUUCGAGAGUAUUGGGCAAAGUACUUCUUGGAAGAGUGCAUGUAAUUAACUUAGGAGAGAUCAG
Ipomoea nil (Japanese morning glory) is the source of this 320-nucleotide long non-coding RNA. RefSeq lists it as uncharacterized. Lineage: Eukaryota; Viridiplantae; Streptophyta; Magnoliopsida; Solanales; Convolvulaceae. The record is from RefSeq and is a predicted model, not a curated record. The transcript has 5 exons.